AUCCAGCUCAUGAGUCUCAAAUAAGACGAAACGCGCGUCGCGGAU
This is a non-coding RNA of Schistosoma rodhaini, 45 nucleotides long. The record is from Rfam. Lineage: Eukaryota; Metazoa; Platyhelminthes; Trematoda; Strigeidida; Schistosomatidae.